GUGAAGAGACAUGAGAGGUGUAGAAUAAGUGGGAGGCCCCGGCCGCCGGUGAAAUACCACUACUCUUAUCGUUUUUCAC
This is a non-coding RNA of Salmo salar (Atlantic salmon), 79 nucleotides long. The record is from Rfam. NCBI's taxonomy places the organism in Eukaryota, Metazoa, Chordata, Actinopteri, Salmoniformes, Salmonidae.